Molecule: ribosomal RNA, 813 nt
Filed under: Escherichia coli
Lineage: Bacteria; Pseudomonadati; Pseudomonadota; Gammaproteobacteria; Enterobacterales; Enterobacteriaceae
Description: partial 23S ribosomal RNA
Rfam family: Bacterial large subunit ribosomal RNA
Source: RNAcentral
GGUUAAGCGACUAAGCGUACACGGUGGAUGCCCUGGCAGUCAGAGGCGAUGAAGGACGUGCUAAUCUGCGAUAAGCGUCGGUGAGGUGAUAUGAACCGUUAUAACCGGCGAUUUCCGAAUGGGGAAACCCAGUGUGUUUCGACACACUAUCAUUAACUGAAUCCAUAGGUUAAUGAGGCGAACCGGGGGAACUGAAACAUCUAAGUACCCCGAGGAAAAGAAAUCAACCGAGAUUCCCCCAGUAGCGGCGAGCGAACGGGGAGGAGCCCAGAGCCUGAAUCAGUGUGUGUGUUAGUGGAAGCGUCUGGAAAGGCGCGCGAUACAGGGUGACAGCCCCGUACACAAAAAUGCACAUAUUGUGAGCUCGAUGAGUAGGGCGGGACACGUGGUAUCCUGUCUGAAUAUGGGGGGACCAUCCUCCAAGGCUAAAUACUCCUGACUGACCGAUAGUGAACCAGUACCGUGAGGGAAAGGCGAAAAGAACCCCGGCGAGGGGAGUGAAAAAGAACCUGAAACCGUGUACGUACAAGCAGUGGGAGCCUCUUAAUGGGGUGACUGCGUACCUUUUGUAUAAUGGGUCAGCGACUUAUAUUCUGUAGCAAGGUUAACCGAAUAGGGGAGCCGAAGGGAAACCGAGUCUUAACUGGGCGUUAAGUUGCAGGGUAUAGACCCGAAACCCGGUGAUCUAGCCAUGGGCAGGUUGAAGGUUGGGUAACACUAACUGGAGGACCGAACCGACUAAUGUUGAAAAAUUAGCGGAUGACUUGUGGCUGGGGGUGAAAGGCCAAUCAAACCGGGAGAUAGCUGGUUCUC